This 269-nucleotide ribosomal RNA is filed under the name Clostridioides difficile. RNAcentral describes it as "partial 23S ribosomal RNA". It matches the Rfam family "Bacterial large subunit ribosomal RNA", at positions 1724 to 2004 of the family's 2925-position model. The record is from RNAcentral. Lineage: Bacteria; Bacillati; Bacillota; Clostridia; Peptostreptococcales; Peptostreptococcaceae.
GACCCCGUAACUUAGGGAUAAGGGGUGCCACCAUCCGGUGGCCGCAGAGAAUAGGCCCAAGCGACUGUUUACCAAAAACAUAGGUUUCUGCUAAGUCGCAAGACGAUGUAUAGGAGCUGACGCCUGCACGGUGCUGGAAGGUUAAGGGGAUCUGUUAGAGCAAUCGAAGCAGUGAACUUAAGCCCCAGUAAACGGCGGCCGUAACUAUAACGGUCCUAAGGUAGCGAAAUUCCUUGUCGGGUAAGUUCCGACCCGCACGAAAGGCGUAA